AGCGAACGCUGGCGGCAGGCCUAACACAUGCAAGUCGAACGAACUCUUCGGAGUUAGUGGCGGACGGGUGAGUAACACGUGGGAACGUGCCUUUUGGUUCGGAAUAACUCAGGGAAACUUGUGCUAAUACCGAAUGUGCCCUUCGGGGGAAAGAUUUAUCGCCAUUAGAGCGGCCCGCGUCUGAUUAGCUAGUUGGUGAGGUAACGGCUCACGAAGGCGACGAUCAGUAGCUGGUCUGAGAGGAUGACCAGCCACACUGGGACUGAGACACGGCCCAGACUCCUACGGGAGGCAGCAGUGGGGAAUCUUGCGCAAUGGGCGAAAGCCUGACGCAGCCAUGCCGCGUGAAUGAUGAAGGUCUUAGGAUUGUAAAAUUCUUUCACCGGGGACGAUAAUGACGGUACCCGGAGAAGAAGCCCCGGCUAACUUCGUG
This 433-nucleotide ribosomal RNA is filed under the name uncultured bacterium. Its description in RNAcentral is "partial 16S ribosomal RNA". It matches the Rfam family "Bacterial small subunit ribosomal RNA", at positions 29 to 507 of the family's 1533-position model. The record is from RNAcentral.